RNAcentral lists this ribosomal RNA (703 nucleotides) under Azadinium spinosum. RNAcentral describes it as "partial large subunit ribosomal RNA". It matches the Rfam family "Eukaryotic large subunit ribosomal RNA", at positions 38 to 620 of the family's 3401-position model. Lineage: Eukaryota; Dinophyceae; Gonyaulacales; Amphidomataceae. The record is from RNAcentral.
GCAUAUAAGUAAGCGGAGGACAAGAAACUAAACAGGAUUCCCUUAGUAAUGGCGAAUGAACAGGGAUGAGCUCAGCAUGGAAAUCGGGGUCUCCCGACCUUGAAUUGUAGUCUGUAGAUGUACUGCCAACGGAGGCGCAGAUGUAAGCCUCUUGGAAAAGAGCAUCAACGAGGGUGAGAGUCCCGUUUGUCAUCUGCAGUCCCCCGUGCACGGUGUGCCUUCUAAGAGUCACGUUCCUCGGGAUUGGAGCGCAAAGUGGGUGGUAAAUUUCAUCUAAAGCUAAAUAUUGGUUCGAGACCGAUAGCAAACAAGUACCAUGAGGGAAAGGUGAAAAGGACUUUGAAAAGAGAGUUAAAAGUGCCUGAAAUUGCUGAAAGGGAAGCGAAUGGAACCAGUGUUCUUGAUGAGAUUGUUGCGUACUCUGGUGAUUGCUGGGUGUUCCACCGCAAGGGGGGCAUCUAGUUUUGAGCUAGAUGUGCGUGGUGUUUCUUGUCUUGUGUGUCACCGUCGGUGCACGAGCGAGUAAACCUCCAGGGGGCUGGUAACUCGACCACGGUUGAGUGAAUACCUUUGGCAGUACUCAUUUGUGUAUCGAUCCCUGCGUGUCUGGUUGCAGUGUUUGGGUCGCCUGGAAACUCCUGAAGGGCUUGUCCUCGAAGGAGUCCUUUUGGGCGCCCUGAGCAUCUCCCUGACACAAAGACGA